AGCGAACGCUGGCGGCAGGCCUAACACAUGCCAGUCGAACGGAUCCUUCGGGAUUAGUGGCGGACGGGUGAGUAACACGUGGGAACGUGCCCUUUGGUUCGGAACAACUCAGGGAAACUUGAGCUAAUACCGGAUGUGCCCUUCGGGGGAAAGAUUUAUCGCCAUUGGAGCGGCGCGCGUCUGAUUCGCUAGUUGGUGAGGUAACGGCCCACCAAGGCGACGAUCAGUAGCUGGUCUGAGAGGAUGAUCAGCCACACUGGGACUGAGACACGGCCCAGACUCCUACGGGAGGCAGCGGUGGGGAAUCUUGCGCAAUGGGCGAAAGCCUGACGCAGCCAUGCCGCGUGAAUGAUGAAGGUCUUAGGAUUGUAAAAUUCUUUCAGCGGGGACGAUAAUGACGGUACCCGCAGAAGAAGCACCGGCUAACUUCGUG
Molecule: ribosomal RNA, 433 nt
Filed under: uncultured bacterium
Lineage: Bacteria
Description: partial 16S ribosomal RNA
Rfam family: Bacterial small subunit ribosomal RNA
Source: RNAcentral